This 311-nucleotide ribosomal RNA is filed under the name uncultured fungus. RNAcentral describes it as "SSU rRNA". It matches the Rfam family "Eukaryotic small subunit ribosomal RNA", at positions 39 to 352 of the family's 1831-position model. The record is from RNAcentral. Lineage: Eukaryota; Fungi.
AAAGAUUAAGCCAUGCAUGUCUAAGUAUAAGCAAUUAUACCGCGAAACUGCGAAUGGCUCAUUAUAUAAGUUAUCGUUUAUUUGAUAGCACAUUUACCUACUUGGAUAACCGUGGUAAUUCUAGAGCUAAUACAUGCUAAAAAUCCCGACUUCGGAAGGGAUGUAUUUAUUAGAUUAAAGGCCAACGCCCUUCGGGGCUUCUUGGUGAUUCAUGAUAACUGGUCGAAUCGCAUGGCCUUGCGCCGGCGAUGGUUCAUUCAAAUUUCUUCCCUAUCAACUUUCGAUGCGAAGGUCUUGUCUUCGCACGGUUG